This 390-nucleotide ribosomal RNA is filed under the name uncultured bacterium. Its description in RNAcentral is "bacterial SSU rRNA". It matches the Rfam family "Bacterial small subunit ribosomal RNA", at positions 30 to 424 of the family's 1533-position model. The record is from RNAcentral.
AUUGAACGCUGGCGGAAUGCUUUACACAUGCAAGUCGAACGGCAGCACGGGGCAACCUGGUGGCGAGUGGCGAACGGGUGAGUAAUACAUCGGAACGUGCCCAAUCGUGGGGGAUAACGUAGCGAAAGUUACGCUAAUACCGCAUACGAUCUACGGAUGAAAGCGGGGGAUCGCAAGACCUCGCGCGAAUGGAGCGGCCGAUGUCAGAUUUAGGUAGUUGGUGGGGUAAAGGCUCACCAAGCCAACGAUCUGUAGCUGGUCUGAGAGGACGACCAGCCACACUGGAACUGAGACACGGUCCAGACUCCUACGGGAGGCAGCAGUGGGGAAUUUUGGACAAUGGGCGCAAGCCUGAUCCAGCCAUUCCGCGUGCAGGAUGAAGGCCUGGUU